Molecule: ribosomal RNA, 279 nt
Filed under: Triticum aestivum (bread wheat)
Lineage: Eukaryota; Viridiplantae; Streptophyta; Magnoliopsida; Poales; Poaceae
Description: partial small subunit ribosomal RNA
Source: RNAcentral
AUGAAUCUCUUAUCUCCCGCUAUUGGGGAUCCUAUUUGCGUACCGACCCAAAACAUGCUUAUCGGGCUUUAUGUAUUAACGGUUGGAAAGCGUCGAGGUAUUUGUGCAAAUAGAUAUAAUAGUUGCAGAAACUACCCAAAUCUAAAAGUAAAUUACAAUAAUAAUAAUAAUAAUUCUAAAUAUAGGAAAGAUAAAGAACCCCAUUUUUCUAGUUCUUAUGAUGCACUGGGAGCUUAUAGACAAAAACUAAUCAGUUUAGAUAGUCCCUUGUGGCUAUGA